This 301-nucleotide ribosomal RNA is filed under the name uncultured bacterium. Its description in RNAcentral is "partial 16S ribosomal RNA". It matches the Rfam family "Bacterial small subunit ribosomal RNA", at positions 509 to 807 of the family's 1533-position model. The record is from RNAcentral.
CAGUCGCCACGGGAAUACGGAGGGGGCUAGCGUUGUUCGGAAUUACUGGGCGUAAAGCGCACGUAGGCGGCUUGGUAAGUUAGAGGUGAAAGCCUGGAGCUCAACUCCAGAAUUGCCUUUAAGACUGCCGAGCUAGCAGGUGAGAGAGGUAAGUGGAAUUCCGAGUGUAGAGGUGAAAUUCGUAGAUAUUCGGAAGAACACCAGUGGCGAAGGCGGCUUACUGGCUCAUACUGGACGCUGAGGUGCGAAAGCGUGGGGAGCAAACAGGAUUAGAUACCCGCGUAGUCCCUGUCUCUUAUAC